AGACCCGAAACCCGGUGAUCUAGCCAUGGGCAGGUUGAAGGUUGGGUAACACUAACUGGAGGACCGAACCGACUAAUGUUGAAAAAUUAGCGGAUGACCUGUGGCUGGGGGUGAAAGGCCAAUCAAACCGGGAGAUAGCUGGUUCUCCCCGAAAGCUAUUUAGGUAGCGCCUCGUGAAUUCAUCUCCGGGGGUAGAGCACUGUUUCGGCUAGGGGGCCAUCCCGGCUUACCAACCCGAUGCAAACUGCGAAUACCGGAGAAUGUUAUCACGGGAGACACACGGCGGGUGCUAACGUCCGUCGUGAAGAGGGAAACAACCCAGACCGCCAGCUAAGGUCCCAAAGUCAUGGUUAAGUGGGAAACGAUGUGGGAAGGCCCAGACAGCCAGGAUGUUGGCUUAGAAGCAGCCAUCAUUUAAAGAAAGCGUAAUAGCUCACUGGUCGAGUCGGCCUGCGCGGAAGAUGUAACGGGGCUAAACCAUGCACCGAAGCUGCGGCAGCGAACGUAUCACUUAAAGCGAUUCAGCGGGUUACGAUUGACGGAGCGAAGCGACGUCAAAGCGUAUACAAAGUCGAGUCGGUUUAAGGAUACGUUCGUUGGGUAGGGGAGCGUUCUGUAAGCCUGUGAAGGUGGCCUGUGAGGGUUGCUGGAGGUAUCAGAAGUGCGAAUGCUGACAUAAGUAACGAUAAAGCGGGUGAAAAGCCCGCUCGCCGGAAGACCAAGGGUUCCUGUCCAACGUUAAUCGGGGCAGGGUGAGUCGACCCCUAAGGCGAGGCCGAAAGGCGUAGUCGAUGGGAAACGGGUUAAUAUUCCCGUACUUGGUGUUACUGCGAAGGGGGGACGGAGAAGGCUAUGUUGGCCGGGCGACGGUUGUCCCGGUUUAAGCGUGUAGGUGUGUGUUCCAGGUAAAUCCGGUUCACUUUAACACUGAGGCGUGAUGACGAGGCACUACGGUGCUGAAGCAACAAAUGCCCUGCUUCCAGGAAAAGCCUCUAAGCAUCAGGUAACAUCAAAUCGUACCCCAAACCGACACAGGUGGUCAGGUAGAGAAUACCAAGGCGCUUGAGAGAACUCGGGUGAAGGAACUAGGCAAAAUGGUGCCGUAACUUCGGGAGAAGGCACGCU
Molecule: ribosomal RNA, 1125 nt
Filed under: Salmonella enterica subsp. enterica serovar Derby
Lineage: Bacteria; Pseudomonadati; Pseudomonadota; Gammaproteobacteria; Enterobacterales; Enterobacteriaceae
Description: partial 23S ribosomal RNA
Rfam family: Bacterial large subunit ribosomal RNA
Source: RNAcentral